Triticum urartu is the source of this 124-nucleotide non-coding RNA. NCBI's taxonomy places the organism in Eukaryota, Viridiplantae, Streptophyta, Magnoliopsida, Poales, Poaceae. The record is from Rfam.
UAUGUACUCCUCCGUCCGAAAUUACUUGUCAUUGAAAUGGAUGAAAACAGAUGUAUCUAAAACUCAAAUACAUCUAGAUACAUCCAUAUCUAUGACAAGUAUUUCCGGACCGAGGGAGUAUAAU